AUGGAUAGCCGGCCUGAGAGGGUGAACGGCCACAAGGGGACUGAGACACGGCCCUUACUCCUACGGGAGGCAGCAGUGGGGAAUAUUGGACAAUGGGCCACAAGCCUGAUCCAGCAAUUCUGUGUGCACGAUGAAGGUCUUCGGAUUGUAAAGUGCUUUCAGUUGGGAAGAAGAAAGUGACGGUACCAACAGAAGAAGCGACGGCUAAAUACGUGCCAGCAGUUUUUUGUAAUACGUAUGUCGCAAGCGUUAUCCGGAUUUAUUGGGCGUAAAGCGCGUCUAGGCGGAAAAAUAAGUCUGAUGUUAAAAUGCGGGGCUCAACUCCGUAUUGCGUUGGAAACUGUUUUUCUAGAGUACUGGAGAGGUGGGCGGAACUACAAGUGUAGAGGUGAAAUUCGUAGAUAUUUGUAGGAAUGCCGAUGGAGAAGUCAGCUCACUGGACAGAUACUGACGCUAAAGCGCGAAAGCGUGGGGA
RNAcentral lists this ribosomal RNA (475 nucleotides) under uncultured bacterium. Its description in RNAcentral is "bacterial SSU rRNA". It matches the Rfam family "Bacterial small subunit ribosomal RNA", at positions 279 to 767 of the family's 1533-position model. The record is from RNAcentral.